This 1065-nucleotide ribosomal RNA is filed under the name Zoopage sp. RNAcentral's name for it is "partial large subunit ribosomal RNA". It matches the Rfam family "Eukaryotic large subunit ribosomal RNA", at positions 84 to 904 of the family's 3401-position model. Lineage: Eukaryota; Fungi; Zoopagomycota; Zoopagomycetes; Zoopagales; Zoopagaceae. The record is from RNAcentral.
UAACGGCGAGUGAAGCGGGAAGAGCUCAAAUUUGAAAUCGGAAUGGNUAGCGCCGGAUCUGAAUUGUAGUUUGAUGAGGCGUGUCUUGCGGUCGGUCCAGGUCCAAAUCCCUUGGAAUGGGGUACCAUGGAGGGUGAAAGUCCCGUCUAUGGCCUGCGAGAGCCGGCUGCGUUGUAGACCGUCCUCGGAGAGUCGGGUUGUUUGGGAAUGCAGCCCAAAGCGGGUGGUAAACUCCAUCUAAGGCUAAAUACUGGCGAGAGACCGAUAGCGAACAAGUACCGUGAGGGAAAGUUGAAAAGCACUCUGAAGAGAGAGUCAAACAGUACGUGAAAUUGUCAACAGGGAAACGUUGGGCUCCAGUACGUGUCCGGAUUGAAUCAGGCAUGGCCAGGGCUGGUGCGUGCGUGUGUGCAGUCGCUAGCGCGGCGUGCACGCGUGCGUUUCCGGAGCUGGCUGCGCUGUACUUCGGCCCGGACAGGUCAACAUCAGUUGCGCCGGCGAGCAAGAACGGACCCGGGGAGGUAGUCGCCAGUCUCGGCUGGCGGCACUUACAACCCGGGCUGCGGCGGCUCGUGCGCGACUGAGGAAUCUGAGGAUCGACGUGCCAGCGGGCGUGCUCUUGCGAGCGCGGCCAGGUGCAGGUCGGCCGUGGUCGAGUGGCGGUGCGUCUGUAGGACAGCCUGGCUGAUCUGCGGGCGUUGCCGCUGCCCGUGCCGCGGUGCGGACACUAGUCGGUCACUGACGGUUGACGAAAUGGAGUUCACCGACCCGUCUUGAAACACGGACCAAGGAGUCUAACAUGGGUGCGAGUGUUUGGGCGUGGAAAACCCGGACGCGGAAUGAAAGUGAGCCCGUUUGGGCUGGGCAGGACGUUGGUGUGGCUCGCGAUCUUUGGUCGCGGCGCCCGACCGCACUGUCGACCGGCCGCUGGCUCGCGUGGCCAGCGGAUUGCGUCUGAGCAUCCCUGUUGGGACCCGAAAGAUGGUGAACUAUGCUUGAGUAGGAUGAAGCCAGAGGAAACUCUGGUGGAGGUCCGUAGCGGUUCUGAUCGUGCAAAUCGAUCCG